This 437-nucleotide ribosomal RNA is filed under the name uncultured bacterium. Its description in RNAcentral is "partial 16S ribosomal RNA". It matches the Rfam family "Bacterial small subunit ribosomal RNA", at positions 29 to 507 of the family's 1533-position model. The record is from RNAcentral.
AGCGAACGCUGGCGGCAGGCUUAACACAUGCAAGUCGAGCGGGCACCUUUCGGGGUGUCAGCGGCGGACGGGUGAGUAACGCGUGGGAACGUGCCCUCUGGUUCGGCAUAACUCAGGGAAACUUGAGCUAAUACCGGAUACGCCCUUUUGGGGAAAGGCUUGCUGCCGGAGGAUCGGCCCGCGUCUGCUUAGCUAGUUGGUGAGGUAACGGCUCACCAAGGCGACGAUCAGUAGCUGGUCUGAGAGGAUGAUCAGCCACACUGGGACUGAGACACGGCCCAGACUCCUACGGGAGGCAGCAGUGGGGAAUAGUGGACAAGGGGCGCAAGCCUGAUCCAGCCAUGCCGCGUGAGUGAUGAAGGCCUUAGGGUUGUAAAGCUCUUUUAUCCGGGACGAUAAUGACGGUACCGGAGGAAUAAGCCCCGGCUAACUUCGUG